GAUAUUGCACUAAAUUUAAUUGCACUACAUUAAGUUUUUACAUAUCUUUCGUAAAAGUUCGUCAGAGUAUGAAAAUGUCGAUACAAUUUGUCAUGAAUAACUUAAAUUUUAAGAUUUUCGCGCAUAAAAUUAUGACGCGCGCUGUCUGUGCGGCGGCGUAAUUCGCUACUCGUAUAGCCGUCUCGCUUCUUCUUGUAUGUGCUUUACCGUUGCUCACCGCUUCAAGAACAUUGCUGCUCACACACACGUCAGUCUGUGGCAAACAAUUGGAGGGGGAGGAUGUGUCGGUUUGCUCCAGAAAUCGUGUGUGAUUUUGUUGCUGGAUUUGGUUCCAUCGCUGUUUGUUUUGGUGAAAUUGAAAAGGUAAGAAUCAUCAACCGGUGUAAAAGUGUGAGAGUAAGAUGAUGCUGAUGGUGACUGAUGCUUUUCUUUGUUUUUUUUUCGGCUUUUAUCCACUGAUGGCGUCGAGCAUCGCCGAGGAUGUGAUCGAAUGCGGAAUAUCCUAAACGAGGAGCUUCAUUCCGGAUUUUGUUUGCAAUAAGCGCUGAACUCAUCCUCCAGCUUACAACGAACGGUCAACGGAUGAGGAAGGAGAGGAGGGACGGCAAAGGUACACGCACAAACGUGCACACAUCAGCCUUGUCGGAGAACGAGAACACGGGAGGGGGAGACCGGCAACGUAUAGAACCUUUAAGCUCCCUCGUGCGUUCGUGCGUGCGUGCGCGCGCGCGUCUAUGUGUGUGUAUGUGUGUGCAUGCCUGCGUGCGUGGCUGUGUGUGUUUUUGCCGCUUCGCAUAACGAGAUCCUACGGGAUCACCUUGCGAAAAACACCAAGAGAGGGGAAGGGGUAGGUGUAUGUGUAUGUGUAUGUGUGCUUGCAUGCGUGCGUGGCUGUGUAUGUGUGUAUGUAUGUGUGCUUGCAUGCGUGCGUGGCUGUGUGCGUGUUUUUUGCUGUUUCGCGAUCUCCUACGGAAUCACCUUGCGAAAACACGAGGGGGAGGGGGGAGGAGUGGGGUGUGUGUGUGCUUGCCUGCGUGCUUUGUGUGUGUGUGUUUUUGCGUUCACGUUCUACGGGAUCACUUUGCGAAAAACACUAAGGGGAGGAGGAGGUGUGUGUGUGUAUGUGUUUUUUUUUCUUUGCCGAUUCUCUCGCGGAUCUAGUUGUGUGCGUUAGUUUUUUUUUAGUUUCUUCGAAAAAUCUUCGAAAAAUACCUGGGGGAGGAUGUGUGUAUGAAAGAAUGUACUUCAGAAAAGAAAGUGAAAAA
This is a long non-coding RNA of Anopheles arabiensis, 1265 nucleotides long. RefSeq lists it as uncharacterized. The record is from RefSeq and is a predicted model, not a curated record. Lineage: Eukaryota; Metazoa; Arthropoda; Insecta; Diptera; Culicidae. The transcript has 2 exons.